Long non-coding RNA from Rattus norvegicus (Norway rat), 792 nucleotides. RefSeq lists it as uncharacterized. Lineage: Eukaryota; Metazoa; Chordata; Mammalia; Rodentia; Muridae. The record is from RefSeq and is a predicted model, not a curated record.
UUCUCUUCUGCUCCCAGAAGCUUUAAGUUUCAGUUUCCAUUCAUCUCUAAUCAAAGUAGAUUUGGGGACUGUGGCUUUGAACAUCCUUCUGUAAAAGUUAGUACUGUUAAGAUUGGGAAAACGGAGACUUUGGGAUUCUUGAGGGAGUGACAGCCACAGACUUCCCAGGCCACUUUGAAAGCAGCCACCUAAAUGGACACACAGCUGUCUGCAGUUGUCUGACAGUGACCACCAUAUUCAAGAAUUAGAUAUCACCUCCCCGAAUCCAUCCAUGAGGCAACUGAAAAGCAAACUGGAAAAGAAAGAAAACUGUUAGUUUUAAUUUAAGAAAGGAAGAGCCAACGCCCCUUCUAAAUAUCCACUCGCCUUGGUAGAUUUAUGCUUCUCCUCUAAUGAAGAAAAAUAAAGAAAAUCAAAGUAUCCCCUUCAAUACAUUCCUUACUUUUAUAUCCACUCAAUUUUAAACAUUAAAGCUUCAGCCAUAAAAAUGAUGUUGACCUUUUGGAAGGAAUGCAUUCAUUGUGUAAGUACAAAGACCAUUCUGCUUGGCCUGUGAGCUCCCAGUGAAUUCUCUGGUCUCUGCUUCCUGACUUGCUGUAAGAGUGCUGAGAACUUACGUCCCACUUCGUUUGGGUUGUACAAGGGUUCUGAGGAACUAAACAUGGGUCAUGUUAAUGCCACCAGGCAAGAAUACGAGUUUGAGCCAAAUUUAAAGUAAGCUUGAUUUUAAUUAGGGUGUACCUGAGAGCUGACCAGUUGCCGCCUCCUAGGUAUUAUUAAAGAGAGCAAACC